Molecule: ribosomal RNA, 476 nt
Filed under: uncultured bacterium
Lineage: Bacteria
Description: partial 16S ribosomal RNA
Rfam family: Bacterial small subunit ribosomal RNA
Source: RNAcentral
GACGAACGCUGGCGGCGUGCUUAACACAUGCAAGUCGAACGGUGAAGGGACCGGCUUUUGCUGGUUCUGGAUGAGUGGCGAACGGGUGAGUAACACGUGAGUAACCUGCCCCCUUCUUCUGGAUAACCGCAUGAAAGUGUGGCUAAUACGGGAUAUUCUGCGCCUGCUGCAUGGUGGGUGUGGGAAAGAUAUUGUUUCGGUGGGGGAUGGGCUCGCGGCCUAUCAGCUUGUUGGUGGGGUGAUGGCCUACCAAGGCGGUGACGGGUAGACGGCCUGAGAGGGUGACCGGCCCCGGCCCGACUCCGACGGGGCGCAGCCGUCGGGGAUAUUUAGCAGUGGGGAAUAGUCCACAACGGGCGGACCCCGGAUGGGGCGGCGGCCUUCGGGUUGUAAACCUCUUUCGCCAGUGAAGCGGGCCUGUCCCUUAUGUGGGUGGGUUGACGGUAGCUGGAUAAGAAGCGCCGGCUAACUACGUG